UAAGCUCUGCUUUGUUGGUUAGAGUCUUAACUACUCUCUCUAUCAAAAAAGCUAAGGGAGUCCGAAUUUCUUCACACUGCGAGUGGUGAAGGUGAGGACACCCACACUGCAAAAAAAGGGGUGACAGUACAUUAGGAUAGCGACGGCAUUAGUGGAGCAGUA
RNAcentral lists this non-coding RNA (162 nucleotides) under Candidatus Peregrinibacteria bacterium RIFCSPLOWO2_02_FULL_39_10. RNAcentral's name for it is "6S RNA". It matches the Rfam family "6S / SsrS RNA". Rfam says of the family: E. coli 6S RNA was the first non coding RNA to be sequenced, but its function was unknown until recently. It consists of 184 nucleotides that fold into an extended hairpin structure with a large single-stranded internal bulge. The 6S RNA specifically associates with RNA polymerase holoenzyme containing the sigma70 specificity factor. Lineage: Bacteria; Candidatus Peregrinibacteriota. The record is from RNAcentral.